AUACGGAGGGUGCGAGCGUUAAUCGGAACUACUGGGCGUAAAGCGUACGUAGGCGGUUGGUUAAGUUAGAUGUGAAAGCCCCGGGCUUAACCUGGGAACUGCAUUUAAAACUGGCGAACUAGAGUUGAGUAGAGGGGAGUGGAAUUUCAGGUGUAGCGGUGAAAUGCGUAGAGAUCUGAAGGAACACCAGUGGCGAAGGCGACUCCCUGGACUCGAACUGACGCUGAGGUACGAAAGCGUGGGUAGCAAACGGGAUUAGAAACCCCAGUAGUCC
RNAcentral lists this ribosomal RNA (274 nucleotides) under uncultured bacterium. RNAcentral's name for it is "partial 16S ribosomal RNA". It matches the Rfam family "Bacterial small subunit ribosomal RNA", at positions 523 to 796 of the family's 1533-position model. The record is from RNAcentral.